RNAcentral lists this ribosomal RNA (483 nucleotides) under uncultured bacterium. RNAcentral's name for it is "partial 16S ribosomal RNA". It matches the Rfam family "Bacterial small subunit ribosomal RNA", at positions 29 to 506 of the family's 1533-position model. The record is from RNAcentral.
AUUGAACGCUGGCGGCAUGCUUUACACAUGCAAGUCGAACGGCAGCGCGGGCUUCGGCCUGGCGGCGAGUGGCGAACGGGUGAGUAAUACAUCGGAACGUGCCCAGUAGUGGGGGAUAGCUCGGCGAAAGCCGGAUUAAUACCGCAUACGACCUGAGGGUGAAAGCGGGGGAUCUUCGGACCUCGCGCUAUUGGAGCGGCCGAUGGCAGAUUAGCUAGUUGGUGGGGUAAAGGCCUUCCAAGGCGACGAUCUGUAGCUGGUCUGAGAGGACGACCAGCCACACUGGGACUGAGACACGGCCCAGACUCCUACGGGAGGCAGCAGUGGGGAAUUUUGGACAAUGGGCGAAAGCCUGAUCCAGCAAUGCCGCGUGUGUGAUGAAGGCCUUCGGGUUGUAAAGCACUUUUGGCGGGAACGAAAAGGACUGUGCCAAUACCACGGUUCGAUGACGGUACCCGCAGAAUAAGCACCGGCUAACUACGU